Non-coding RNA from Notechis scutatus (mainland tiger snake), 222 nucleotides. Lineage: Eukaryota; Metazoa; Chordata; Lepidosauria; Squamata; Elapidae. The record is from RefSeq and is a predicted model, not a curated record.
GUUAAUUCCCAACUGUUUUGGAGGGAAACUUAGAAUAUUCAUAUUUGGGUGGGCUUUUUCAAGUAUUAUGAUUGGUUAAGGCCCUGUGGGCCCAGAGUAUAAAUUACAGGCAUUUGCCUGCUGUUCCUCAGUUCCAGUUUAAGUCAAUAAAUGCUGUUGUAGCUAUGCUGGUCUGCUCCUUGCCUACUGAAGCCCACUAUGCAAUAACAACUGGCUCUAUAG